Molecule: ribosomal RNA, 253 nt
Filed under: uncultured bacterium
Lineage: Bacteria
Description: partial 16S ribosomal RNA
Rfam family: Bacterial small subunit ribosomal RNA
Source: RNAcentral
UACGUAGGGGGCAAGCGUUGUCCGGAUUUAUUGGGCGUAAAGAGCGUGUAGGCGGCUUGACAGGUCUGCUGUGAAAACUCGAGGCUCAACCUCGAGAUGUCGGCGGAAACCGUCUGGCUAGAGUCCGGAAGAGGAGAGUGGAAUUCCUGGUGUAGCGGUGAAAUGCGCAGAUAUCAGGAGGAACACCGAUGGCGAAGGCAGGUCACUGGGCCGCAACUGACGCUGAGGAGCGAAAGCAUGGGGAGCGAACAGG